GGAAGGAUCAUUAUUGAAUGAACUUGGUGUGGUUGUUGCUGGCCCUCUCGGGGGCAUGUGCACACCCACCAUCCUCAUCUCUCCACCUGUGCACCUCUUGUAGACCUGGAUAGACUUUCCGAGGCAACUCGGUCGGGAAGAUUGCUGUGCUCUGUGAGCCAGCUUUCUUUGCAUGUCCAGGCCUAUGUUUUUCAUAUACCCCUAUAGAAUGUAACAGAAUGUAUCAUUGGGCCUUGUGCCUAUAAACCUUAUACAACUUUCAGCAACGGAUCUCUUGGCUCUCGCAUCGAUGAAGAACGCAGCGAAAUGCGAUAAGUAAUGUGAAUUGCAGAAUUCAGUGAAUCAUCGAAUCUUUGAACGCACCUUGCGCUCCUUGGUAUUCCGAGGAGCAUGCCUGUUUGAGUGUCAUUAAAUUCUCAACCUUAUUAGCUUUUGUUGAUAAUGGAUUGGAUGUGGGGGUUUAUUUGCUGGCUUCUUCACAGAGAUCAGCUCCCCUUAAAUGCAUUAGCUGGUGCCCCGCGUGGACCAUCUAUUGGUGUGAUAAUUAUCUACGCCGUGGAUGUCUGCAAUCAUAUGGGUUUUGCACUGCUUCUAACCGUCUGUUCAUUCGGACAAUACAUGACAAUUUGACCUCAAAUCAGGUAGGACUACCCGCUGAACUUAAGCAUAUCAAUAAGCGGAGGAAAAGAAACUAACAAGGAUUCCCCUAGUAACUGCGAGUGAAGCGGGAAAAGCUCAAAUUUAAAAUCUGGCGGUCUCCGGCCGUCCGAGUUGUAAUCUAGAGAAGUGUUAUCCGCGCUGGACCGUGUACAAGUCUCCUGGAAUGGAGCGUCAUAGAGGGUGAGAAUCCCGUCUUUGACACGGACUGCCAGGGCUUUGUGAUGCGCUCUCAAAGAGUCGAGUUGUUUGGGAAUGCAGCUCAAAAUGGGUGGUAAAUUCCAUCUAAAGCUAAAUAUUGGCGAGAGACCGAUAGCGA
This 976-nucleotide ribosomal RNA is filed under the name uncultured fungus. RNAcentral describes it as "eukaryotic LSU rRNA". The stretch from base 628 to 976 matches the Rfam family "Eukaryotic large subunit ribosomal RNA", at positions 1 to 343 of the family's 3401-position model. The record is from RNAcentral. Lineage: Eukaryota; Fungi.